UACGUAGGGUGCGAGCGUUGUCCGGAAUUAUUGGGCGUAAAGAGCUUGUAGGCGGUUUGUCGCGUCUGCUGUGAAAAUCCGGGGCUCAACCCCGGACUUGCAGUGGGUACGGGCAGACUAGAGUGUGGUAGGGGAGACUGGAAUUCCUGGUGUAGCGGUGAAAUGCGGCAGAAUAUCAGGAGGAACACCGAUGGCGAAGGCAGGUCUCUGGGCCACUACUGA
RNAcentral lists this ribosomal RNA (222 nucleotides) under uncultured bacterium. RNAcentral's name for it is "partial 16S ribosomal RNA". It matches the Rfam family "Bacterial small subunit ribosomal RNA", at positions 524 to 743 of the family's 1533-position model. The record is from RNAcentral.